Molecule: ribosomal RNA, 376 nt
Filed under: Frankia sp.
Lineage: Bacteria; Bacillati; Actinomycetota; Actinomycetes; Frankiales; Frankiaceae
Description: bacterial SSU rRNA
Rfam family: Bacterial small subunit ribosomal RNA
Source: RNAcentral
GACGAACGCUGGCGGCGUGCUUAACACAUGCAAGUCGAGCGAGGAGCUUGCUCCUAGCGGCGAACGGGUGAGUAACACGUGGGCAACCUGCCCCAAGCUCUGGAAUAACUCCGGGAAACCGGGGCUAAUGCCGGAUAUGACAUCGCUGGGCAUCUGGUGGUGUGGAAAGAUUUAUUGGCUUGGGAUGGGCCCGCGGCCUAUCAGCUUGUUGGUGGGGUGAUGGCCUACCAAGGCGACGACGGGUAGCCGGCCUGAGAGGGCGAUCGGCCACACUGGGACUGAGACACGGCCCAGACUCCUACGGGAGGCAGCAGUGGGGAAUAUUGCGCAAUGGGCGAAAGCCUGACGCAGCGACGCCGCGUGAGGGAUGACGGCC